Aethalodelphis obliquidens (Pacific white-sided dolphin) is the source of this 469-nucleotide long non-coding RNA. RefSeq lists it as uncharacterized. The record is from RefSeq and is a predicted model, not a curated record. The transcript is spliced from 2 exons. NCBI's taxonomy places the organism in Eukaryota, Metazoa, Chordata, Mammalia, Artiodactyla, Delphinidae.
CUGACUGGCCGCUGCCAGACAGGCUUCCGACAGCUCAGCGCCCUGCAGUGAGCCACACCCUCGGGCCUCACACGACAGAUGCUUUGGAUAGAAUCAGGAAACCAGUGACUCACGAAAGAAAAUGCUGUGGACGUCACCACUCGGCACAGACCUCGCUCUGUGCGCGCGGGCUGGACGCAGGCAGGCCGCAGGCCAGCUACAAUCUGCUGGGACCGGGCCUUUGCCCGUAUCUAUGGGGACGAGGAGCCCGCCACGUGCCCAGAUCCACCUGGCGGGAUGCGAGAGUGGGAGCUGCGCCCUCACCUUGGCCCACCAGCUGGAGAGCACGAAGUAGGUGUUCACGUUCUCCUCCCCGAACUGCUCGGCCACGUAGAGCCCCAGCGAGCCGUACUUGUCGUAGAUGUUUCUUUUCGUGGAGUCCGUCAGGAUGGCGUGGGCGUUGUUGAUCUCCUUAAACUUGUCUGCGGCC